RNAcentral lists this small RNA (83 nucleotides) under Bradyrhizobium japonicum USDA 6. RNAcentral describes it as "Bradyrhizobiaceae sRNA BjrC68". It matches the Rfam family "Bradyrhizobiaceae sRNA BjrC68". The record is from Rfam by way of RNAcentral. Lineage: Bacteria; Pseudomonadati; Pseudomonadota; Alphaproteobacteria; Hyphomicrobiales; Nitrobacteraceae.
CCACGACUACGGUUUGGGGCACAUACCCGGCAAUGUCCCGACCGUUGAGGGGCUUCAGCGCAAGCUGAAGCCCCUUUCUUUUG